RNAcentral lists this ribosomal RNA (223 nucleotides) under Rhodella violacea. RNAcentral's name for it is "partial Bacterial small subunit ribosomal RNA". It matches the Rfam family "Bacterial small subunit ribosomal RNA", at positions 559 to 782 of the family's 1533-position model. Lineage: Eukaryota; Rhodophyta; Rhodellophyceae; Rhodellales; Rhodellaceae. The record is from RNAcentral.
CGUAAAGCGAGCGCAGGCGGUUUGAUAAGUCUGAAGUUAAAGGCUGUGGCUUAACCAUAGUACGCUUUGGAAACUGUUUAACUUGAGUGCAAGAGGGGAGAGUGGAAUUCCAUGUGUAGCGGUGAAAUGCGUAGAUAUAUGGAGGAACACCGGUGGCGAAAGCGGCUCUCUGGCUUGUAACUGACGCUGAGGCUCGAAAGCGUGGGGAGCAAACAGGAUUAGA